Gasterosteus aculeatus aculeatus (three-spined stickleback) is the source of this 2187-nucleotide long non-coding RNA. The record is from Ensembl. NCBI's taxonomy places the organism in Eukaryota, Metazoa, Chordata, Actinopteri, Perciformes, Gasterosteidae.
GUUUUAAAAAAUGUGUGUUGUAUGUUGACUGGAAUGGCAAUAAAUCACUUAGUAAGAUUUGGAACCUAGUGGAGAAGUGUCUGUUCUCUGUGAUAUUGAAGAAUCUAAAAGAGGCCAACAGUGGAGUUUGCACUGGACUACUAGUGUAGCAACGCUUCAAGGACAAACCACUGUUUGAAUACAAGGUCACAGUUCAUGGUGAGUCUAAUAAUAAUACAGUUUAGUCCUUUUUAUUCGCCCAAAUAAUGGUUUUGUCCCAGGGACCAAAGAUGAAAAGCAUCCAUUACAACAUACUCACAUGAAUAUAAAUAAGUACUUUAAAGAGGUGCACGUCCUCUGGCUCACAUCCACUUGUGGUGUCCAGAGUUUGUAGAUCUCACGAUACCGGCAUGCGCAGCCACCAGGUUCUAUUUAGCACCUGCAGGGACCAUUAUGGAGCAACAUGCAGUAGCUGAAGUAACUCAUCUUAAAGGGAUUAAUCAUUUAAAGAAUAUAGUGGUAAUACCAAUUAGACAGUCUUUUAAAGAAGCUUGCAGAAUAAGUUGAAAUGAAUAAUUGUACUUUGUUACUUAGAUGAACUUUUAUGUGUAAAUGAGCCUCCUUGACAAAGGGCAGAACUCAAUCUCUCUUUACAGGUUCAGAUCUCAAGCAGUCAGACAGCUCAGAGAGGAAGUUCAAAAGGAGUCUGAUGACGAGCAGCUGUGUGCAAACGCCUCCGAGCUUCUUUAAAUAAGAGGCCAGCUGUUAGUUUAUUGUGGAGCAGAACGCAGGUUGUUGCAGCGUCUGGUCGAAGACUCCGUCAUGUCUCUCUUUGUGAUUCUCGCCCUGCUCGUCUGCAUUGAGGCUCAAGAGCCCAUUGUGACGCCUUUGUUUGUGCAGAAGGGACAUGAUCUGCUCCUGAAGUUUGAUGCUGAUCUUCCUGAGCAGGUUUCAUUUGUUGACUGGAAAUUCAAUAGAACAGUCACUUUAGUAAGAUUUGCUGCUAGUGGAGAAGCAUUUGUCUUAACAGGGUCUGUAGACGCUCCGCAGGGAAGGUUUGAGUUUCCUGAGAAAAGAUUCUUUUUGAUAUUGAUGAAUCUACAAGAGGCCGACAGUGGGGUUUAUUCUGCUGUAGCAGCAACGCUUCAAGGGGACAAAGCACUAGUUGAAUACCAGGUCACAGUCCAAGGACCAGUGUCUCCAGUUGAACUGACUGACGUGGACCGAGUGGACUCCAACAGCUCAGUCACCUUUUAAACCCUUGAUGAUGUUCCACUGACUCCCAGCUGGUGGCAGCAACACACCAGGAGAAGAAAAGAGGCAGACGACCACAAAGCAGCAAAACAUGGACGCAAACAAUUUAGAAUUUAAAGUAUUAACAAAUUCAGCUUUGCAGAUAUUUCCUGGUGAAGUUGAUUAUACACAAUAUAUCAUACACACAAGACCAUUUAAAUAUAUGUUUUAAUUUUUCUCAUUUUGGUGGAUGUCAUCUUGAAGAAAAUGACAAAUAAAUCUGCUUAUGUAUAAUCAAGACUAACUAUAUCUAAGUAAUUAACCUUAAGUACAAUCAUAAAAAAAUAUACUUUGCAUCCUUGUCUGCUUGCAUGUAUGGUAUUUACUUGUACACAAUUCUGUUCAGCAGGUUUUGUUUUGUGUGGAAACUUAGAACUUGUUAAAGCUUCAUACUUAUCUUGCGUUUCAGUGAUUAAAAGGUCACGUGUUCCUCUCUGGUGUACUGUCAGUUUUUACCAAAGAAUCAAUAUGUGCUGUUAUUAUAGUAAAGACACUUGAUAUAAAAUACAAAAUAUAUAAUGGAAAAUAUAUUUUUUAAAUUCUCUAUUACAGUUGAAAAAUAUUUUAUUCAUUUUUUUGUCUAAAAAAUAAAAUGAUAUAACAGAAGCAGCCUGCAUCAUGCAGCUUAAAUCUCACCAAUGAGGUGAGGCCUCAUGAGUCUAAAGUGUAACUGAUCAAAAUGAAGAGUGACAUAAAGGCUCAGACGAGGUACCACAGCUGAGGUUCCGGCCGAGACAACAACAUAUUUCUCACUUUUUCUACAUUGAUCUUAAAUGUAAAAGACACAGCGGACAAUGGCAGAGAUGACAGGACAAGGCAGGAAGUGAAGCUAACCCAGGAACACAAGAGGUAGGAAACUACAAAAUAAAACAGGAAAUAAACCCAAACCGUGACAGAAAGUACGUCACACUGCAG